This 400-nucleotide ribosomal RNA is filed under the name uncultured bacterium. RNAcentral describes it as "bacterial SSU rRNA". It matches the Rfam family "Bacterial small subunit ribosomal RNA", at positions 355 to 772 of the family's 1533-position model. The record is from RNAcentral.
UGGGGAAUAUUGGACAAUGGGCGAAAGCCUGAUCCAGCAAUGCCGCGUGAGUGAUGAAGGCCUUAGGGUUGUAAAGCUCUUUUACCCGGGAUGAUAAUGACAGUACCGGAAGAAUAAGCCCCGGCUAACUUCGUGCCAGCAGCCGCGGUAAUACGAAGGGGGCUAGCGUUGCUCGGAAUCACUGGGCGUAAAGGGCGCGUAGGCGGACGUUUAAGUCAGGGGUGAAAUCCCGGGGCUCAACCUCGGAAUUGCCUUUGAUACUGGAUGUCUCGAGACCGGAAGAGGUAAGUGGAACUGCGAGUGUAGAGGUGAAAUUCGUAGAUAUUCGCAAGAACACCAGUGGCGAAGGCGGCUUACUGGUCCGGUUCUGACGCUGAGGCGCGAAAGCGUGGGGAGCAAA